This 86-nucleotide transfer RNA is filed under the name Lupinus luteus (yellow lupine). RNAcentral describes it as "transfer RNA-Leu". It matches the Rfam family "tRNA". From Rfam's summary of the family: Transfer RNA (tRNA) molecules are approximately 80 nucleotides in length. Their secondary structure includes four short double-helical elements and three loops (D, anti-codon, and T loops). Further hydrogen bonds mediate the characteristic L-shaped molecular structure. tRNAs have two regions of fundamental functional importance: the anti-codon, which is responsible for specific mRNA codon recognition, and the 3' end, to which the tRNAs corresponding amino acid is attached (by aminoacyl-tRNA synthetases). tRNAs cope with the degeneracy of the genetic code in two manners: having more than one tRNA (with a specific anti-codon) for a particular amino acid; and 'wobble' base-pairing, i.e. permitting non-standard base-pairing at the 3rd anti-codon position. Lineage: Eukaryota; Viridiplantae; Streptophyta; Magnoliopsida; Fabales; Fabaceae. The record is from RNAcentral.
GUCAGGAUGGCCGAGUUGGUCUAAGGCGCCAGAUUAAGGUUCUGGUCUGAAUCUUGGCGUGGGUUCAAAUCCCACUCUUGACACCA